Small nuclear RNA from Artibeus jamaicensis (Jamaican fruit-eating bat), 107 nucleotides. NCBI's taxonomy places the organism in Eukaryota, Metazoa, Chordata, Mammalia, Chiroptera, Phyllostomidae. The record is from RefSeq and is a predicted model, not a curated record.
GUGCUCACCUGGGCAGCACUUACACUAAAACCGGAACGACACGGACAAGAUCAUCUCGCUCCCUCUGCAAGGAUGACACACAGAUGCUUGAAGCAUUCCGUAUUUUU